This 103-nucleotide transfer RNA is filed under the name Ceratocystis platani. It matches the Rfam family "tRNA". From Rfam's summary of the family: Transfer RNA (tRNA) molecules are approximately 80 nucleotides in length. Lineage: Eukaryota; Fungi; Ascomycota; Sordariomycetes; Microascales; Ceratocystidaceae. The record is from Rfam by way of RNAcentral. RNAcentral also lists the same sequence under 1 other name.
GGCAAGAUGGCCGAGCGGUCUAAGGCGCUGUGUUCAGGUUUCUGUUAACUCAAGAAGCUUCGCAGUGGAGCAAUCCGCGCGAGUUCGAAUCUCGUUCUUGUCA